UAUCGAUCAGUACAGCCAGUGGGAGAUCUGCACUGUCAGUGUCAAUGUAUCGGUCAGUACAGCCAGUGGGAGAUCUGCACUGUCAGUGUAUCGGUCAUACAGCCAGUGGGAGAUCUGCACUGUCAGUGUAUCGGUCAGUACAGCCAGUGGGAGAUCUGCACUGUCAGUGUCAAUGUAUCGGUCAGUACAGCCAUGGAAUUUGUCCACAGACACAACAUGCCCAAUCCUUCUGGCUUAUUAUUUGAGUGUUACUCGUUUGAGGUCUUGUCUGAGUUCACUGAUUGAUCUUGUCAUCAGUUCAAUGUUGUUGGAAUGGUCACCCACAUUCUCUUUCUGACGUUACAGUACAAAUGGAUCAGAUUUUUAUGAUUAAUUUUGUUUCUUUUUUUGUAGAUGUUUUUGUUGUAUUUAUUCCUGAAAGCUCAGGCCAUGUUCUAUUUCUGAGAGUAAAAAGAAGACAGGAAGCCGCACCAAACUGUGCUCUUAUGACCGUAACCAUGUGUUGCUUUUCUCCCUAUGUUUUUCUGUUUGCUGGAAUAGGCUCCAUCAUGCGCUGUGCUCCACGUCAUGACUGCUGUGUGUAUGUAUAGCUCUGUCUGUCUGUCUGUCUGUCUGUCUGUCUGUCUGUCUGUCUGUCUGUCUGUCUGUCUGUCUGUCGUGCACUUUUAAUCAUGAUGAUGAUUUUACAAAAGGCCUCUUCAACUGUGGGGUAAUUUGGCGUGUGUUCUCUGCAGUUUAAAAAAAUAAUUUAACAGUACCCUUUGCAUUUUUUUUUUCUCAGUGUCUUUCAUUCUGUUUGGGUUUAGUGUAUUUACACAUGGCUGUGCAGUCUGACACAAUGGCCCAACUCCCGACUAAAAUGAAGUCAUUCUGUUGAUGAACCCAUAACGGAACAUUUCAGAGUAUGUUCUGGGUCUAGAACAGAGUGGCUUCUCGUUCUAGAACAGAGUAGAUUCUAGUUCUAGAACAGAGUAGAUUCUAGUUCUAGAACAGAGUAGGUUCUAGUUCUAGAACAGAAUAGAUUCUAGUUCUAGAACAGAGUACAUUCUAGUUCUAGAACAGAGUAUGUCCUGGGUCUAGAACAGGGUGGCGCCUAGUUCUAGAACAGAGUGGCGCCUAGUUCUAGAACAGAGUGGCGCCUAGUUCUAGAACAGAGUGGCGCCUAGUUCUAGAACAGAGUGGCACCUAGUUCUAGAACAGAUUGGCGUCUAGUUCUGGAACAGAGUGGUUUCUGGUUCUGGAACUCUUGGCUUAGACAUGCAGUAGCAUAUAACAUAAGCCAGAGCCACUUUUCUGCUCAAGUGGUUUUGGAAUAAAUGGCUCCUGCUCAAGUGGUUUUGGCCAUGUAUUCCAAAAUUAUUUUAUUGUAGUUCAUAAUUCCAUGUGUUCCACUUCCCUGAUGUUUUAUUUUUUUUAACCUUUAUUUAACCAGGCAAGUCAGUUAAGAAUAAAUUCUUAUUUUCAAUGACGGCCUAGAAACAGUGGCUUAACUGCCUGUUCAGGGGCAGAAUGACAGAUGUGUACCUUGUCAGCUCGGGGACUUGACUUGCAACCUUUCGGUUACUAGUCCAACGCUCGAACCACUAGGCUACCCUGCCGCCCCGUCAUAUCGUACACGUGCCUUUUGGAUUUUCAUUUGGCUUGCAGCUAUCCAAAUAUAUAAUGAUAAAAUAAGCAUUUCAAAAGAGGAUGUCUCUGGAAAGUCUUUUUUCAUGUACCAUGUGUUUCAACUGCUGUUCAAAUAACUGUAUGUGAGGGAAAGGUAUUGUUUGUUUUAUAAAUCAUACUGUUUUUUUUUAUUUUAAAUCAAAGAUCUUUGUAAAUGACCAUAACUUGGAAGGCUGUGCUUUGAAUACAACUAAUUAGAGAAAGUAGUAUUUUAUUGAACAGACCCAUUGAGUUUUUUGCCUUUGCUAAAAAAUGUAUUAAAGUAAUAUGAAAACUG
Molecule: long non-coding RNA, 1945 nt
Organism: Oncorhynchus tshawytscha (Chinook salmon)
Lineage: Eukaryota; Metazoa; Chordata; Actinopteri; Salmoniformes; Salmonidae
Source: Ensembl